Lagenorhynchus albirostris (white-beaked dolphin) is the source of this 1415-nucleotide long non-coding RNA. RefSeq lists it as uncharacterized. The record is from RefSeq and is a predicted model, not a curated record. Lineage: Eukaryota; Metazoa; Chordata; Mammalia; Artiodactyla; Delphinidae. The transcript has 3 exons.
UCCCACAACAAGCUGGGGCGUGGGAAGCAGAGGCAGAGUGGGAUUGAUGAAGGGGGAAGGGACUGCUUUCCACACCUGCCGGGUGUUGGGAGGUCCGUGCCUCUCAGUAGGGGACGGUCCCACAUGGGGUUGGAUGUCAGGAGAUCUUGCUAAAAAGGGACAGAUUCCAAGGUGGUCUGAGACACAGCCCAGCGAAACUUGAAAUCCUGCAUCACCCUUGCCUGAAUGGACACCAGAGAGGGGAGCCUUUGGGCAGUUGCUCUUUUGAGAUGAUCCAGGGGUAUUCGGGGAGAAGAAGGGGGAAACCGAGGCAGCUGGGUGGCUUCCCAUGUCCACCAGCAGCUCUUGGAGGGAGGGAGCUUUCCUCCUGGGGGCUGAACUCUUUGGAGGAUGCCUGCUCAUGCCUGCCCCCCAGGACCCCUGGACCAGAGUUUUGAACACAAUGAGUGACAUAGGUUCUGAGGUCUGCUGGGCUUGAGAUUGGAGGCUGGAUCUGCAGUGACCCCUUGAGCAAGAUACUUCACCUCUCCGAACCUCUGUUUCCUCAUCUGUGAAGUGGAGAUAUGAGCUUGUGUGCGGGGAACAUCAGCCUUUGCAGUGCCUGGCAGUGGUGGCUCUAAAAGACGGCCGCUGUGAGCUCCAGAAGCAACCUUGAAGCCUUGGGCAGCACAGCGGAGAGAAAGCAGGGCCACGUACACUGAAUUUCGCCACAGACAAGAGGCCGACAAAGGGGAAAUGGGCUCCGAAAGGAAGAGGCAGCAGGGUGGUCUGGUUCAGCGUCUUUCGCUGUCUGCCCCAAGCCUCCCUGCCUGGCUCGAGCCUGCAAUGGGGUACCCUCUCCCACCUUCUGAAAUCUGGCUUCCGGCCGAGAGGAGAACACCUCCCCAGAUGAGCCACACCUUGGGGGGGACCCCCAUCUUCUCCCCUCCCUUUUGGCCUAAAUGCCAACCAGGAGCAAAUGUGACCCCCUGAACUUACGGGAGAGGUGCACACAAUGGGAAGGGGCAUUUCAUGCCCGAGUGUAGAUGUGGCUUUUGCCCUGACAUCCAAGGCUUCAGUUAUUGUCUGAGUGUGUAGCAGAUGUAGGUGCCCAGGGACAAGUGGGACCCCAGGAGAGACCACCCCCCCACCCUCAGAGAUCUCCUUGGCCAGCCUGCCGUGAUGCCCAAAUUUCCCGUCACCAUUUGUCACUCUUCGGCACGAAGGCCUGGUCAGCGUGUCCUUGUUCGGUGUAAACUGGCUACCUAGCAGGAGUUAACAUAUUAAUCUGCCAACACCCAUUCAUCAUUGGUUUUCAUAUCAGCGGAGAGCAAGGCGAUGAGGUAAUGGAACGUGGGACAGGUGAAUUUUGAUGAGGAAUGAGCAGGAGAAACUGAACAAGAGUCACAGCUGGUGAGAAAUGGCUCAGAAGGGGC